CGUACACUCCUACGGGAGGCAGCAGUGGGGAAUAUUGGACAAUGGGCGCAAGCCUGAUCCAGCCAUGCCGCGUGAGUGAUGAAGGCCCUAGGGUUGUAAAGCUCUUUCACCGGUGAAGAUAAUGACGGUAACCGGAGAAGAAGCCCCGGCUAACUUCGUGCCAGCAGCCGCGGUAAUACGAAGGGGGCUAGCGUUGUUCGGAUUUACUGGGCGUAAAGCGCACGUAGGCGGACUAUUAAGUCAGGGGUGAAAUCCCGGGGCUCAACCCCGGAACUGCCUUUGAUACUGGUAGUCUUGAGUUCGAGAGAGGUGAGUGGAAUUCCGAGUGUAGAGGUGAAAUUCGUAGAUAUUCGGAGGAACACCAGUGGCGAAGGUGGCUCACUGGCUCGAUACUGACGCUGAGGUGCGAAAGCGUGGGGAGCAAACAGGAUUAGAUACCCUAGUAGUCCC
RNAcentral lists this ribosomal RNA (450 nucleotides) under uncultured organism. RNAcentral's name for it is "partial 16S ribosomal RNA". It matches the Rfam family "Bacterial small subunit ribosomal RNA", at positions 330 to 797 of the family's 1533-position model. The record is from RNAcentral.